Epinephelus moara (kelp grouper) is the source of this 447-nucleotide long non-coding RNA. RefSeq lists it as uncharacterized. The record is from RefSeq and is a predicted model, not a curated record. The transcript is spliced from 5 exons. NCBI's taxonomy places the organism in Eukaryota, Metazoa, Chordata, Actinopteri, Perciformes, Serranidae.
GUUCGACAACCGUUUGUUAAGAGGUAGAUAAAACGCUGACUGAGCUGUUGUAAGGUGUGCGGAGGCCUGGAGGAGGAGGAUGAGCAGGAGGAGGAGGAGGAGGAGGAGGAGAAAGGGGGGUUUCUCCAGUCGUAUACCCUGCAGAGCCACUCUCUCCUGGGUUCCUCCUUGCCCGCAUCCUCAGAGGAUCCAGCAGAGCAGAUACCAGCGGAUUCAUCUCUCCUGCAAAAUACAAAUGUUGAAACCUUUCCUACCCUCCACCACUUCACCUCUACAAUUCACCAAAUGAAGCGUCUGCUCAAUGAUCUGUUGACCGAGACAGAAACUCCCCAAACCUGUUGCAGAGCCGUGCCUGCUCCCAAAGGAGAUGGAAAUAGCCAGAGCAGCAUGUGGCUGCUGGCAACAGUUCAACUGCCUUUCACCAAGCUGUGUGUCGUACUGCAGGAC